This 229-nucleotide ribosomal RNA is filed under the name uncultured bacterium. RNAcentral's name for it is "partial 16S ribosomal RNA". It matches the Rfam family "Bacterial small subunit ribosomal RNA", at positions 15 to 236 of the family's 1533-position model. The record is from RNAcentral.
GAUCCUGGCUCAGGAUGAAUGCUGGCGGCGUGCUUAACACAUGCAAGUCGAACGAAGACAUCUGAGUGCUUGCACUUGGAUGGACUGAGUGGCGGACGGGUGAGUAACGCGUGGGUAACCUGCCUUAUACAGGGGGAUAACAGUUGGAAACGACUGCUAAUACCGCAUAAGCGCACGGUAUCGCAUGAUACAGUGUGAAAAACUCCGGUGGUAUAAGAUGGACCCGCGU